CAGGCAGGAGCCAGACAGGGACCAGGGAAUAAGCCCCAUGUACCAGUCAUGCAAAUAUUUCACAACCCAAUCCCAGACCAUUUUCCAAGUCCCAGCCGCAUGUUUGCACUUCGGCUCUGGAAAGAGGGGCUUUGUUCCUGAUCUACCUGUGUAUCGGGAAGAGCUGCUCCAGAUCCAUUUCCAAGAGCAAGACUAUGUCCAAAAUGGUGUAAAUCAGGAACAUGACUGUUGAACAAGGAGCGAAAGAGCCAGGAGAUCUGAGUCUUCCACCUGUGCUUCCAGCUACCUGCUUCAUAUCGCUGUGUUUGCCCCUCUGUCAAACAGCGCAGCGGGGAGCAAAAGGGAACAAGACAUGGGGGAUGGAGAAACACAAGGGAGAAACAAGAUAACGUGGGGAUUGAUCUGUCCAAAGGGCAGAGGAACAUUUACGAUGUAAAAUUACAGCGCCUAUUACUCGGGAGUGCUGCACGCCAUGGUGAUUCAGCAUGACUGGGACCGAGGGAACAACUAGAGCCUGUUAGCCGGAUCCCUCCGCUUUCACACCUCCACGUGGCUUUGCAGCAAAUCAAAACGCAACAAAUGGCUUUGCAUCAUUUCUUCAAGGAGUCCUGGGCCUUGUACGUUAUCUUGAGGGCAGGGUAUGUGCUAUAAUAAAAGACGGCUUUAUUGCCAGCUGCAACAAAGCCAAGGAUUCAGACGCGUAUCGCCUUGUGGGUUCAUUGUAA
This is a long non-coding RNA of Columba livia (rock pigeon), 725 nucleotides long. RefSeq lists it as uncharacterized. The record is from RefSeq and is a predicted model, not a curated record. The transcript has 3 exons. Lineage: Eukaryota; Metazoa; Chordata; Aves; Columbiformes; Columbidae.